AACGAACGCUGGCGGCAUGCCUAACACAUGCAAGUCGAACGAGACCUUCGGGUCUAGUGGCGCACGGGUGCGUAACGCGUGGGAACCUGCCCUUAGGUUCGGAAUAACUCCCCGAAAGGGGUGCUAAUACCGGAUAAUGUCUUCGGACCAAAGAUUUAUCGCCUUUGGAUGGGCCCGCGUUGGAUUAGCUAGUUGGUAGGGUAAAAGCCUACCAAGGCGACGAUCCAUAGCUGGUCUGAGAGGAUGAUCAGCCACACUGGGACUGAGACACGGCCCAGACUCCGCGGGGAGGCAGAGGGGGGGAUUAUGGAAGAAGGGGCAAAAGCCGGAUCAAGCAAUGCGGGGUGAGUGAGGAGGGCGUAGGGGUUGAAAACUUCUUUUCCCGGGGAUAAUAAUAAGAGACCGGGGAAAAAAGGCCCGGGCAAGCCCGGGC
This 433-nucleotide ribosomal RNA is filed under the name uncultured bacterium. RNAcentral describes it as "partial 16S ribosomal RNA". It matches the Rfam family "Bacterial small subunit ribosomal RNA", at positions 29 to 508 of the family's 1533-position model. The record is from RNAcentral.